This 1372-nucleotide ribosomal RNA is filed under the name uncultured bacterium. RNAcentral describes it as "bacterial SSU rRNA". It matches the Rfam family "Bacterial small subunit ribosomal RNA", at positions 28 to 1381 of the family's 1533-position model. The record is from RNAcentral.
GAUGAACGCUGGCGGCGUGCCUAAUACAUGCAAGUCGAGCGAACGGACGAGAAGCUUGCUUCUCUGAUGUUAGCGGCGGACGGGUGAGUAACACGUGGAUAACCUACCUAUAAGACUGGGAUAACUUCGGGAAACCGGAGCUAAUACCGGAUAAUAUUUUGAACCGCAUGGUUCAAAAGUGAAAGACGGUCUUGCUGUCACUUAUAGAUGGAUCCGCGCUACAUUAGCUAGUUGGUAAGGUAACGGCUUACCAAGGCAACGAUGCAUAGCCGACCUGAGAGGGUGAUCGGCCACACUGGAACUGAGACACGGUCCAGACUCCUACGGGAGGCAGCAGUAGGGAAUCUUCCGCAAUGGGCGAAAGCCUGACGGAGCAACGCCGCGUGAGUGAUGAAGGUCUUCGGAUCGUAAAACUCUGUUAUUAGGGAAGAACAUAUGUGUAAGUAACUGUGCACAUCUUGACGGUACCUAAUCAGAAAGCCACGGCUAACUACGUGCCAGCAGCCGCGGUAAUACGUAGGUGGCAAGCGUUAUCCGGAAUUAUUGGGCGUAAAGCGCGCGUAGGCGGUUUUUUAAGUCUGAUGUGAAAGCCCACGGCUCAACCGUGGAGGGUCAUUGGAAACUGGAAAACUUGAGUGCAGAAGAGGAAAGUGGAAUUCCAUGUGUAGCGGUGAAAUGCGCAGAGAUAUGGAGGAACACCAGUGGCGAAGGCGACUUUCUGGUCUGUAACUGACGCUGAUGUGCGAAAGCGUGGGGAUCAAACAGGAUUAGAUACCCUGGUAGUCCACGCCGUAAACGAUGAGUGCUAAGUGUUAGGGGGUUUCCGCCCCUUAGUGCUGCAGCUAACGCAUUAAGCACUCCGCCUGGGGAGUACGACCGCAAGGUUGAAACUCAAAGGAAUUGACGGGGACCCGCACAAGCGGUGGAGCAUGUGGUUUAAUUCGAAGCAACGCGAAGAACCUUACCAAAUCUUGACAUCCUUUGACAACUCUAGAGAUAGAGCCUUCCCCUUCGGGGGACAAAGUGACAGGUGGUGCAUGGUUGUCGUCAGCUCGUGUCGUGAGAUGUUGGGUUAAGUCCCGCAACGAGCGCAACCCUUAAGCUUAGUUGCCAUCAUUAAGUUGGGCACUCUAAGUUGACUGCCGGUGACAAACCGGAGGAAGGUGGGGAUGACGUCAAAUCAUCAUGCCCCUUAUGAUUUGGGCUACACACGUGCUACAAUGGACAAUACAAAGGGCAGCGAAACCGCGAGGUCAAGCAAAUCCCAUAAAGUUGUUCUCAGUUCGGAUUGUAGUCUGCAACUCGACUACAUGAAGCUGGAAUCGCUAGUAAUCGUAGAUCAGCAUGCUACGGUGAAUACGUUCCCGGGUCU